Molecule: long non-coding RNA, 319 nt
Organism: Xenopus tropicalis (tropical clawed frog)
Lineage: Eukaryota; Metazoa; Chordata; Amphibia; Anura; Pipidae
Exons: 4
Source: RefSeq, a predicted model, not a curated record
AUCUAUGUGCCUGUACACACACAGUUAUCUGUGCAGAGAGCUGCACAACUCCAGCCUCUGGCUGCAAUACAGAUCUAACAGCAGAAACAUACCGAAAGCGACUGCAAACUCUCCAAAUCAUCACUCCUCUCACCGAGCACAUUUUAUGGUAAGGAUUACACAAUCAUAGCCUCUUCUAAGCACAGGAGAUACAGCAUGUACAAGCUCCAGCCAUUGUAGGAAAUCUUGCCAUUGCAGCUCCUACGCACAGAUCCAGCCAUGUAUAUUCCAUACAGAGAGAACACUGCACAAUUAUUAAUCAUCUGCAGUAUAAUGAACU